Molecule: ribosomal RNA, 429 nt
Filed under: Gemmatimonadota bacterium
Lineage: Bacteria; Pseudomonadati; Gemmatimonadota
Description: Gemmatimonadetes bacterium partial 16S ribosomal RNA
Rfam family: Bacterial small subunit ribosomal RNA
Source: RNAcentral
UAGGGAAUCUUCGGCAAUGGACGAAAGUCUGACCGAGCAACGCCGCGUGAGUGAAGAAGGUUUUCGGAUCGUAAAACUCUGUUGUUAGAGAAGAACAAGGACGUUAGUAACUGAACGUCCCCUGACGGUAUCUAACCAGAAAGCCACGGCUAACUACGUGCCAGCAGCCGCGGUAAUACGUAGGUGGCAAGCGUUGUCCGGAUUUAUUGGGCGUAAAGCGAGCGCAGGCGGUUUCUUAAGUCUGAUGUGAAAGCCCCCGGCUCAACCGGGGAGGGUCAUUGGGAACUGAGAGACUUGAGUGCAGAAGAGGAGAGUGGAAUUCCAUGUGUAGCGGUGAAAUGCGUAGAUAUAUGGAGGAACACCAGUGGCGAAGGCGGCUCUCUGGUCUGUAACUGACGCUGAGGCUCGAAAGCGUGGGGAGCAAACAGG